This is a long non-coding RNA of Drosophila pseudoobscura, 1108 nucleotides long. RefSeq lists it as uncharacterized. The transcript has 3 exons. Lineage: Eukaryota; Metazoa; Arthropoda; Insecta; Diptera; Drosophilidae. The record is from RefSeq and is a predicted model, not a curated record.
GCGAGGCGUCUGCUCCUCUCGACAGAUGUCGGCAGCCAUCAGGCCACCACUCAGGCCCGAGUCGAUGGCAAUGAGUCCGAUAAGAUCUACUAUGCCCAUGGCAAGCGAAUCGAUGUGAUAGACCUUAAAGGAAAGAACAAGAAAACCCUUGUUUCCGGUGAACAACAAUGCCGCCUUGGGGGGAUUUGUGUACUGGCUGGAUGACAAGACCGGAAUGGAGCGGAUCACUGUCAACGGAGAACGUCGUUCUGCGGAGCUGCAGCGUCUGUCGCAGUUCACCGACAUCAGUGCCGUGUGGACAUCGGGUGCGAAAGUGCUGCGCAAUCACAAUUGUCUUCACAGUCGCACAAAGUGUUCCCACAUCUGCAUAGCCAGCGGGGCACGCAGCGGGACACGCAGUACUCACGACGUCUGCUCGUGCCCCAAGCAUCUGAUGCUACUGGAGGACAAGGAGAACUACAGCGUGUGUCCGGCCAGAUAAUUUUAAGUGGCGGGAGUAGUGACAUGAACAACGAUUGUAUAUCCGUCUUCUGGCGCUGUGACGAAAGGAUCGCCCGGCGGAUUAGUUCAGCUGACAGCCGAGGGCAGCGACAAGGCUCUGGUCUGCGAUGGUACCACCUGUGAAAACUGUCGCAAUGUCCACGUUGAGGCCGACUGCUGCAAGCGGCCAGGAGAGUUUCAGUGUCCCAUUAACAAGCUUUGCAUAUCGGCCGCCCUGCUCUCCGAUUGCUGGGACUCGAAGAGUUAAGGAAUAUAUUAGUUUUGUGGUGGAUAACUAAUAUACAUACAUUAUUCAUCUGCAACAAACUAUUGUAUCCAGACUCAUGUGGUAUCACCAAUUCUGGAGAUGGUACCCUGGAAUCAUGUCUGACAUCCUGUGAAAGGCAAGUGUGGUGCAUCUCAAAUGUUCUAGGACUGUGGUCUCUCUUCUCAAAUAUCCUGCAUGUUCUUUCCUUGGCACGUGGCAAAAGAAGUCUAACAUGCCUGACGCCCAUUCCCUCGAAGCGUGAAUUUUCCUGUAAACGAAGACCUUGCUGUAUAUACGUUCGGUUGUCCAGUUGAACGUGAUAAGUCCCCUAACACUUAUUAAAGUCGAUUUAUCCUUGCA